RNAcentral lists this ribosomal RNA (867 nucleotides) under Magnaporthiopsis meyeri-festucae. Its description in RNAcentral is "SSU rRNA". It matches the Rfam family "Eukaryotic small subunit ribosomal RNA", at positions 57 to 934 of the family's 1831-position model. The record is from RNAcentral. Lineage: Eukaryota; Fungi; Ascomycota; Sordariomycetes; Magnaporthales; Magnaporthaceae.
GUCUAAGUAUAAGCAAUUAUACAGCGAAACUGCGAAUGGCUCAUUAAAUCAGUUAUCGUUUAUUUGAUAGUACCUUACUACAUGGAUAACCGUGGUAAUUCUAGAGCUAAUACAUGCUGAAAACCCCGACUUCGGAAGGGGUGUAUUUAUUAGAUUAAAAACCAAUGCCCUUCGGGGCUCACUGGUGAUUCAUGAUAACUUCUCGAAUCGCACGGCCUUGCGCCGGCGAUGGUUCAUUCAAAUUUCUGCCCUAUCAACUUUCGACGGCUGGGUCUUGGCCAGCCGUGGUGACAACGGGUAACGGAGGGUUAGGGCUCGACCCCGGAGAAAACGCCUGAGAAACGGCGUUUACAUCCAAGGAAGGCAGCAGGCGCGCAAAUUACCCAAUGCCGACACGGCGAGGUAGUGACGAGAAAUACUGAUACAGGGCUCUUUUGGGUCUUGUAAUUGGAAUGAGUACAAUUUAAAUCUCUUAACGAGGAACAAUUGGAGGGCAAGUCUGGUGCCAGCAGCCGCGGUAAUUCCAGCUCCAAUAGCGUAUAUUAAAGUUGUUGCAGUUAAAAAGCUCGUAGUUGAACCUUGGGCCUGGCUGGCCGGUCCGCCUCACCGCGUGCACUGGUCCGGCCGGGCCUUUCCCUCUGGGGAGCCCCAUGCCCUUUACUGGGCGUGGCGGGGAACCAGGACUUUUACUUUGAAAAAAUUAGAGUGUUCAAAGCAGGCCUAUGCUCGAAUACAUUAGCAUGGAAUAAUAGAAUAGGACGUGUGGUUCUAUUUUGUUGGUUUCUAGGACCGCCGUAAUGAUUAAUAGGGACAGUCGGGGGCGUCAGUAUUCAAUUGUCAGAGGUGAAAUUCUUGGAUUUAUUGAAG